GGUUAUGAUGAAGGAUCUGUUGUUGUUAAAAUUGGUUCUGAGCAACCUCUUGCUACUUUAAAUAGUGGUAAGAUACUUAUUGCAAAAGGUACUGAAA
Molecule: small nucleolar RNA, 97 nt
Filed under: Cryptosporidium parvum Iowa II
Lineage: Eukaryota; Apicomplexa; Conoidasida; Eucoccidiorida; Cryptosporidiidae
Source: RNAcentral